Molecule: ribosomal RNA, 488 nt
Filed under: uncultured Streptococcus sp.
Lineage: Bacteria; Bacillati; Bacillota; Bacilli; Lactobacillales; Streptococcaceae
Description: bacterial SSU rRNA
Rfam family: Bacterial small subunit ribosomal RNA
Source: RNAcentral
AAACUUAAAGGAAGUUGACGGGGCCCGCACAAGCGGUGGAGCAUGUGGUUUAAUUCGACGCAACGCGAAGAACCUUACCUGGGUUUGACAUCCUUUGACCGCCCUGGAAACAGGGUUUAUCCGAUUCGUCGGAACAGAGUGACAGGUGCUGCAUGGCUGUCGUCAGCUCGUGUCGUGAGAUGUUGGGUUAAGUCCCGCAACGAGCGCAACCCUUGUCUCUAGUUGCCAGUAUUAAGUUAGGGACUCUAGAGAGACUGCCUCGGUUAACGGGGAGGAAGGUGGGGAUGACGUCAAAUCAUCAUGCCCCUUAUGACCUGGGCUACACACGUGCUACAAUGGUUGGUACAACGAGUUGCGAGUCGGUGACGGCGAGCUAAUCUCUUAAAGCCAAUCUCAGUUCGGAUUGUAGGCUGCAACCCGCCUACAUGAAGUCGGAAUCGCUAGUAAUCGCGGAUCAGCACGCCGCGGUGAAUACGUUCCCGGGCCUU